RNAcentral lists this ribosomal RNA (443 nucleotides) under uncultured bacterium. RNAcentral describes it as "partial 16S ribosomal RNA". It matches the Rfam family "Bacterial small subunit ribosomal RNA", at positions 338 to 795 of the family's 1533-position model. The record is from RNAcentral.
CCUACGGGAGGCAGCAGUGGGGAAUAUUGGGCAAUGGGCGCAAGCCUGACCCAGCAACGCCGCGUGAAGGAAGAAUGCUUUCGGGUUUUAAACUUCUUUUUUCAGGGACGAAGCAAGUGACGGUACCUGACGAAUAAGCCACGGCUAACUACGUGCCCGCAGCCGCGGUAAUACGUAGGUGGCAAGCGUUAUCCGGAUUUACUGGGUGUAAAGGGAGUGUAGGCGGGACUGCAAGUCAGAUGUGAAAACCACGGGCUCAACCUGUGGCCUGCAUUUGAAACUGUAGUUCUUGAGUACUGGAGAGGCAGACGGAAUUCCUAGUGUAGCGGUGAAAUGCGUAGAUAUUAGGAGGAACACCAGUGGCGAAGGCGGUCUGCUGGACAGCAACUGACGCUGAGGCGCGAAAGCGUGGGGAGCAAACAGGAUUAGAUACCCGGGUAGUC